CUACGGGCCGCUCCAGUGAGGAAUAUUGCACAAUGGGGGGAACCCUGAUGCAGCAACGCCGCGUGGAGGAUGACGCAUUUCGGUGUGUAAACUCCUCUUAUAUGUCAAGAAAAUGACGGUAGCAUAUGAAUAAGCACCGGCUAACUCCGUGCCAGCAGCCGCGGUAAUACGAAGGGUGCAAGCGUUACUCGGAAUCACUGGGCGUAAAGGACGCGUAGGCGGGUUGGAAAGUCAGGUGUGAAAUCCUACAGCUUAACUGUAGAACUGCACUUGAAACUUCUAAUCUAGAGUAUGGGAGGGGGAGAUGGAAUUAGUGGUGUAGGGGUAAAAUCCGUAGAUAUCACUAGGAAUACCUAAAGCGAAGGCGAUCUCCUGGAACAUUACUGACGCUAAGGCGUGAAAGCGUGGGGAGCAAACAGGAUUAGAUACCCCUGUAGUC
RNAcentral lists this ribosomal RNA (439 nucleotides) under uncultured bacterium. Its description in RNAcentral is "partial 16S ribosomal RNA". It matches the Rfam family "Bacterial small subunit ribosomal RNA", at positions 339 to 795 of the family's 1533-position model. The record is from RNAcentral.